RNAcentral lists this ribosomal RNA (645 nucleotides) under uncultured Bacilli bacterium. RNAcentral describes it as "bacterial SSU rRNA". It matches the Rfam family "Bacterial small subunit ribosomal RNA", at positions 61 to 687 of the family's 1533-position model. Lineage: Bacteria; Bacillati; Bacillota; Bacilli. The record is from RNAcentral.
GUCGAGCGGACCGACGGGAGCUUGCUCCCUUAGGUCAGCGGCGGACGGGUGAGUAACACGUGGGUAACCUGCCUGUAAGACUGGGAUAACUCCGGGAAACCGGGGCUAAUACCGGAUGCUUGAUUGAACCGCAUGGUUCAAUCAUAAAAGGUGGCUUUUAGCUACCACUUGCAGAUGGACCCGCGGCGCAUUAGCUAGUUGGUGAGGUAACGGCUCACCAAGGCGACGAUGCGUAGCCGACCUGAGAGGGUGAUCGGCCACACUGGGACUGAGACACGGCCCAGACUCCUACGGGAGGCAGCAGUAGGGAAUCUUCCGCAAUGGACGAAAGUCUGACGGAGCAACGCCGCGUGAGUGAUGAAGGUUUUCGGAUCGUAAAACUCUGUUGUUAGGGAAGAACAAGUACCGUCCGAAUAGGGCGGUACCUUGACGGUACCUAACCAGAAAGCCACGGCUAACUACGUGCCAGCAGCCGCGGUAAUACGUAGGUGGCAAGCGUUGUCCGGAAUUAUUGGGCGUAAAGCGCGCGCAGGCGGUUUCUUAAGUCUGAUGUGAAAGCCCCCGGCUCAACCGGGGAGGGUCAUUGGAAACUGGGGAACUUGAGUGCAGAAGAGGAGAGUGGAAUUCCACGUGUAGCGGUGAAAU